RNAcentral lists this ribosomal RNA (198 nucleotides) under uncultured bacterium. RNAcentral describes it as "partial 16S ribosomal RNA". It matches the Rfam family "Bacterial small subunit ribosomal RNA", at positions 328 to 539 of the family's 1533-position model. The record is from RNAcentral.
ACGCUCGACACCUACGGGAGGCAGCAGUGAGGGAUAUUGGUCAAUGGGGGAAACCCUGAACCAGCAACGCCGCGUGAGGGAUGACGGUCUUCGGAUUGUAAACCUCUGUCCUCUGUGAAGAUAAUGACGGUAGCAGAGGAGGAAGCUCCGGCUAACUACGUGCUAGCAGCCGCGGUAAUCUGAGCGGGCUGGCAAGGC